Molecule: ribosomal RNA, 443 nt
Filed under: uncultured bacterium
Lineage: Bacteria
Description: partial 16S ribosomal RNA
Rfam family: Bacterial small subunit ribosomal RNA
Source: RNAcentral
CCUACGGGAGGCAGCAGUGGGGAAUAUUGGACAAUGGGGGGAACCCUGAUCCAGCGACGCCGCGUGAGUGAAGAAGUAUUUCGGUAUGUAAAGCUCUAUCAGCAGGGAAGAAAGAAAUGACGGUACCUGACUAAGAAGCCCCGGCUAACUACGUGCCAGCAGCCGCGGUAAUACGUAGGGGGCAAGCGUUAUCCGGAUUUACUGGGUGUAAAGGGAGCGUAGACGGCGAUGCAAGUCUGAAGUGAAAGGCGGGGGCCCAACCCCCGGACUGCUUUGGAAACUGUAUGGCUGGAGUGCAGGAGAGGUAAGUGGAAUUCCUAGUGUAGCGGUGAAAUGCGUAGAUAUUAGGAGGAACACCAGUGGCGAAGGCGGCUUACUGGACUGUAACUGACGUUGAGGCUCGAAAGCGUGGGGAGCAAACAGGAUUAGAUACCCUUGUAGUC